AUAUUUUGAACCUUUUGAAAGCCGUCAAAAACCUGUAACUCUCGUUACUUUGAAACAUAGAAUUCAGCCGCGGAAAAUGGCAGAUCCUUACAGUGAACCAGAUGAAGUGGCCGAACUGCAGUCUGCCUUUAACGAUAUUAGCAACUUAUGGCAAGAUGUACCAGAAGUAAUAAACAUUUAAAACUAACAGUGAUGAAAGUAUAGUAGUCACAAGAUUAACAAUUUAUUUAAAUUAAUUCCUUACAACUAUUAGUAUCAAUCAUUCUUUGACUUCGAUG
Molecule: unclassified non-coding RNA, 278 nt
Filed under: Melitaea cinxia (Glanville fritillary)
Lineage: Eukaryota; Metazoa; Arthropoda; Insecta; Lepidoptera; Nymphalidae
Description: misc RNA ENSMCXG00005014457.1
Source: RNAcentral